RNAcentral lists this ribosomal RNA (400 nucleotides) under uncultured bacterium. RNAcentral's name for it is "bacterial SSU rRNA". It matches the Rfam family "Bacterial small subunit ribosomal RNA", at positions 355 to 748 of the family's 1533-position model. The record is from RNAcentral.
UAGGGAAUUUUCCACAAUGGGCGAAAGCCUGAUGGAGCAAUGCCGCGUGAGAGAAGAAGGCCUUAGGGUUGUAAAUCUCUGUUGUAAGGGAAGAAAGCCAUGUAGAGGAAAUGCUAUGUGAGUGACGGUACCUUACCAGAAAGCCACGGCUAACUACGUGCCAGCAGCCGCGGUAAUACGUAGGUGGCGAGCGUUAUCCGGAAUUAUUGGGCGUAAAGGGUGCGCAGGCGGUAAUACAAGCUUGUGGUUAAAGAAUGGAGCUUAACUCCAUAGUGCCAUGAUAACUGUAUAACUAGAGUGCAGAAGAGGAGAGUGGAAUUCCAUGUGUAGCGGUGAAAUGCGUAGAUAUAUGGAGGAACACCAGUGGCGAAGGCGACUCUCUGGUCUGAAACUGACGCUG